RNAcentral lists this ribosomal RNA (497 nucleotides) under uncultured bacterium. RNAcentral's name for it is "partial 16S ribosomal RNA". It matches the Rfam family "Bacterial small subunit ribosomal RNA", at positions 28 to 507 of the family's 1533-position model. The record is from RNAcentral.
GAUGAACGCUGGCGGCGUGCCUAAUACAUGCAAGUCGAGCGAACGGACGAGAAGCUUGCUUCUCUGAUGUUAGCGGCGGACGGGUGAGUAACACGUGGAUAACCUACCUAUAAGACUGGGAUAACUUCGGGAAACCGGAGCUAAUACCGGAUAAUAUUUUGAACCGCAUGGUUCAAAAGUAGAAGACGGUCUUGCUGUCACUUAUAGAUGGAUCCGCGCUGCAUUAGCUAGUUGGUAAGGUAACGGCUUACCAAGGCAACGAUGCAUAGCCGACCUGAGAGGGUGAUCGGCCACACUGGAACUGAGACACGGUCCAGACUCCUACGGGAGGCAGCAGUAGGGAAUCUUCCGCAAUGGGCGAAAGCCUGACGGAGCAACGCCGCGUGAGUGAUGAAGGUCUUCGGAUCGUAAAACUCUGUUAUUAGGGAAGAACAUAUGUGUAAGUAACUGUGCACAUCUUGACGGUACCUAAUCAGAAAGCCACGGCUAACUACGUG